Camelina sativa (false flax) is the source of this 2236-nucleotide non-coding RNA. Lineage: Eukaryota; Viridiplantae; Streptophyta; Magnoliopsida; Brassicales; Brassicaceae. The record is from RefSeq and is a predicted model, not a curated record.
AAUCUCAUCUCUCUCUCUCUUUCACACACACACACACACAAAAGAAGAGUUCUCUUUUACAGAAGACUUAUAAAAGUCUUUUGAAGUUUCAAAUCUGAAACUUAUUAAAGUGUUCAAUGAAGAGUACUCGAAACAUCCCUAGUUUUCAUGGGGUUGGUGGUUACAGUGGCUUAAGAGCUCGUAACCUAACAUUCAAGAAAGUUGUGAAGCAAGUGAUGAGAGACCAGUCAAAUAAUCAUUACAUGGUUCUUAUGGAGAACAUGCUCAGAAGAAUUGUUCGAGAGGAGACAAAUCUCAUUCUUCAACCUUUCCUCGCUUCAUCGCGGGUCUCAAUGGAGCGAUCGCGUUCUGAAACGCCAUCGUCGCGUCCACGUUUCAAGCUGCGAUUUAUAAACUCGCCGCCUUCAUCGAUAUUCACGGGGUCCAAGAUCGAAGCUGAGGACGGUACUCCGUUAGUGAUCGAGCUCGUGGACGCCACCACCAACAGUCGAGUCAGUUCCGGACCGUUCUCGUCUUCACGGGUCGAGCUCGUGCCGUUGAACGCUGACUUCUCGGAGGAAAGUUGGACCGUCGAGGGAUUCAAACGGAAUAUUCUCACGCAACGUGAAGGGAAACGACCGUUGCUCACCGGAGAUUUAACGGUGACGCUUAAAAACGGCGUUGGAGUUAUAACCGGAGAUGUCGCUUUCUCUGAUAAUUCUAGCUGGACUAGGAGUAGAAAGUUCCGGUUAGGUGCUAGGUUGACCGGAGAUGGAGCGAUGGAGGCCAGAAGCGAAGCUUUUGGAUGUAGAGACCAACGAGGGGAAUCUUAUAAAAAACAUCAUCCUCCUCGCCACUUUGACGAUGUUUGGAGACUAGAGAAAAUCGCGAAAGAUGGCGUUUCCGCGACGCGUUUGGCUGAACACAAGAUUUAUACCGUCAAAGAUUUUCGCCGUUGGUAUACGGUAGAUCCAAAUGCGUUAUACAACAUACUUUGUGGAGGGAUCUCAAAGAAAACAUGGAAGGCAAUUGUAUCACACGCAAUGGAUUGCGUUUUGGACGAAACAGAGAGUUACAUUUACGAAGCAAACGCUCCUGGCGUAUUUCUUCUCUUCAACUCUGUUUAUGAACUUAUACAAGUCUCAUUCAAUGGCGAAGAUUUCGAAAACGUCGAUCAACUAACCGCAUAUCAACCGAUUUUGGACCAAUUAAAGCUUGAAGCUUACCAAAACAUUAACCGCAUUACAGCGGUUAAGGAUAGGACUUUUGUGGGUCAUCCACAAAGGUCCUUACAGUGCUUGCAAGAUCCUGGAUUUGGCUUAACAUGUUCUGGAUCACAGCACAUCGACUUUCAAGGAAAUUUGGAUCCAUCAAGCUCUUCUUCGAUGUCAGUUUGCCACACAGCUUCAGGCUCAACGGGCCACGCUGAUAUGCUAAUGAGUUUCGAUAACUCAUCAACCGCGACGUUUCAUAUCGACAAAAAGUUCUUACCGGCUUUGGGAAACAGCUUGAAAGUAAGUGAAGUGGAUCCGGUACACGGCAAAUCGCAAACUGUAGUGACAAGAGGUUGUAUCGAGAACGACGAGGAGGAUGAGAACGCGUUUGCUUAUCAUCAGCAUUACGACAUGACCUCGAACUGGUCACCUGGUACGCACCAAGCCAUUGAAACGAUGUGUCUUACCGUGUCUGGGACAGAAGAAGCUGGAAUGUUCGAUGUUCAUUUUGAAAACGUAAAUUUGGGAUCUCCGAGAGCCAGAUGGUGUAAGGUUAAGGCAGCUUUCAAGGUUAAAGCAGCGUUUAAGGAAGCCCGGAGACACACAACUGCCAGAAACCGAGGAGCUCUAGAAAGCGAAGGGUUGGUUCCUUUGGUUUGAUGGAUCCAAGACAACUACGAUCUUGUUCAUCAUCUUACGUGUCAACGAGAAUUGAAGAAGAGAAGGUGAUAACUAGGUGUUGUAGUGAUUGCAAGACCACCAAGACACCAAUGUGGAGAGGUGGACCAACUGGUCCCAAGUCACUUUGCAAUGCAUGUGGGAUCAGAUUCAGGAAACAGAGACGAUCAGAGUUAUUAGCUAUUCGUAUUAUUCAUAGCCACAAAGUCUUAAGAGUCAAAAAAGAUAAAACCAAAAUCAUCGUCAUUAUCAUCAUCACAUGGUGGCGUGGCUGUGAAGAAACAAUGAAAUUUGUGCAUAAUAUUUUACUAUAAAAUUUACAUAUUAUUGACAAUAUAUAAUAAUAAUAAAUAUUAUAAAACUAA